Molecule: RNA transcript, 1434 nt
Organism: Physcomitrium patens
Lineage: Eukaryota; Viridiplantae; Streptophyta; Bryopsida; Funariales; Funariaceae
Gene name: profilin-4
Source: RefSeq, a predicted model, not a curated record
CCAUUUUCGCAUCCGAUUGUCCUUUCCGCCUUCGGCACCCUCUUCUUAUGUUUGCUUUGCGUCUCCGGGAGCGUGAGUGCAGUGUGCUGCUGAUCCCGGAGUCUGCUCUCUCUCGUCUUCGCUGUCGUUGAUGGCGGCCGUGGUGUGCCGGUAGUGCCUGUAUCUGCGACGUGGCUGGUGGUCGUUUGGUUUGGCUGCGGAGGGCUGUUGCAGUGGUAGAGUGAGUGUGGUGGGGAGGUGGUGCAGCGGCAGGCGAGGGCAGCAGCCAUGUCGUGGCAGUCGUACGUCGAUGACCACUUGAUGUACCCGCUUCCGACGGGGCAUAGUCUGGUGGCCGCCGCCAUCAUCGGGCACGAUGGAAGUGUUUGGGCGCAGAGCGAGAUGUUUCCGCAGUUGAGCUCAACGGAGGUGGAAAAGCUUCUGGAUGGUUUCGAGGACGGGAGCUUGCUGGCCGAGAACGGGCUGUUUUUGGGAAGCGCCAAGUACAUGGUUCUGCAGGGUGAAGCUGGCGUUGUGAUCCGGGGGAAGAAGGGUGCAGGAGGGUGCACAGUGAAGAAGACGAACAGCGCGUUUGUGAUCGGGCUGUACGACUAUCCAGUGACGCCGGGCGAAUGCAACAUGGUGGUGGAGAGGCUGGGGGAUUAUCUGUGCGAUCAGGGGCUUUGAAGACGAAUGGAGCAGCGUUGAUGCGGGAGAAGCUGGGUGGGAGCAGGAGCUGGAGCGGUUGAAGUAUUAUAACGGUUUGGAGCGUAUAGUAAUGUGCAUUGGAACGGUGGGAUAGCGGUGUGCGUGAAGUCCCGCCGAUGCGUUGGGUGGGCGGGAAGUGAGUGGUAGAUAUUUGAGUUGUCGACCGUGUUUAGAGUGUGAAGACUUGAGGAUGAUAGAGAGAGAGAUGGGCGAUGGAGCUGCGGCGGAAGGUUGGGGCGAAGAUGAAAGGGAAGUUGUGCAGCAUGGAGUUGGAUGUGGUCCUUGAGCAGCGGGUAGUCUCUGCGGAGGGUGGGUAAUUUCCGUGUCGAUGGAGCGAGGAUGUGGCGGGUGUUGCCACGUGGGUGGUGUCGGGAGUGCCGGUCCGGUGGAGGACAUUUUUCGUAAUCGCAGUCGCCAUGGUUGAUUUGGUCCGGGAGCAAGUACGUGAUGGUGCCGAAACUGUUAAGAAAGUGAUCAACCAUGUAGGAGCAGCUACAUGGAGGAUUUCAGGUGCAUGCAAAUAGGAGGGAUGGAGGUUGACGGGUUUUUGAUGCUCGAGUUCGCUCUCCCAGUUGGCAAAUCAGUAAGCGCUUAUGAAUUUUUGGGUUUAUUGAGCGGAAUCUCAGUCUCGAUGAUUUCAGUGCAGGCUGAUUUUUACAGUUCACUGUCCAUGAGCUACAGUUUUGUGUCCAAUCGUGACGAUUAAUUAUUCCACACUAUUGCCAGUGUUGGUUUUUAUCUACUUUA